GUUUCCUUCCUAACGAAGGCAGCUCCGCAUUGGGUCGCACGCGUCUUCCUCUCCCCCACACGUCUCCGGCCACAGCCGCCUCCUCCUCUCCCCGCUUGUCUUUCCCUCUAGCUCAAGAAGCUCCACGGGACACCACUCUUCCUCUUCUCCGUAUUGAUGCUGAGCAAGAAGAUGGGGCGGAUUUGGGCGACGGCUCCAGUGCCACCUCCCUGCAACGAGGGAUCUCACCGGCGUGGGGGCGGGAGUGGAUGCCAGUGAGGGUGGCGGAUCGGCGUUGCUCGCUCCCCACCGGCCUUCUUCGUCUCCCGACAACAUAUGGCUCCAACCCUUCCUCUGCUGUGUGGUGUCGUGGGAGCAAGAAACAAGAGCAGGCAUGGUUUUUAUCUACAUCCAGUGUUCACACUGCCAGAUCGACGGAUCUAACUCUGGUCGGCAAGGAGGGGCACCGCCGCGGCGGCGAGGAAGCGGCCGGGGGCAAGGCCGAGGGCGGCAAAGCCAACCUGAGUAAGGUGCUGCCGGCUACCUUAUAGAAAAUCACAGGCUUCUAGCAGCGUCAGGUGUUGAUUAUCAACACUUGUUAGAUGUUGUCUGAUUGGCACAAGGGGUCCCCUAUGGAAACACCAAAGUCUACCCAUACUAGUGAUGAUUUCACACACAAGGCAGAAUCAGAUAUGACACAUGUUGCACUGGCUUUUGAAGUGCCAGGAAGCUGGCUUGAAUCAUGACUGUCAUGCAGGUACAUCUAAGGGUUGGGUAUUCGAUAGUAAUUAAUGAUAAGUUAGUAUACAAAAUAAAAGAAAAUAAAUUACUUACUGCAGAGCCAUUCAGUUAUAUAUGCCAACUCUGAAGGAUAAUUCCUAAAAAAAUUAGGCGUUCUUUGUUUCCUCACAAUUUUUUUCAGAAAUGUCGCAUGGUUAUUUGCUAUUGAACUUCCUCUCUGACUGUUGGAUUAUCAGCCCUUUUUUGAUGGAUAGGUGCUACUGACCAGCUACCAUGGAUGGAAGAAACCUCAUCAAAAACUAAUACAUAUGUUACUGAUUCCGAGCCUUCAAAGUUUUCUUUUGCAGUAGCAUUUAUUUUGCACGGUUCAUCUUCCAUGCAAAGAGAAGUCCUAGAACUUUUAGGUGCUGGUAUGGCAGUUGCAGCCGUUUGGGAAUUGCUCCUAGCUGUAAAUUUUCUAUUAUGAUUAACCUGAGAGCAAUCCUGACUAACAUCAGCAUCCUCAGUGUUACCAUAGUCCUUGCAAUGAACAGAGAGAUAUUCAUGGAUGGAGCUGGUAAGGCCACUCAUUUCCAUGGCAGCUAGGAACAAGAAACAGAAGUAUGAGAAAGUCAGUGAAAGGAAAAUUGUUGUUCUUUUCUAUAUCCUGCAUUCGCCACCAUUGGAACAAUGUGUUAUUAAUUGUAUUCUCUUAGCUAUAGGCUCUCUGUCGUGGAUAUCCUACUGAAUUUGCAUCUUAUUUCCAUUACUGCCGCUCACUACGCUUUGGACUACCAGUAUCUCAAGAAAUUGUCUACAGACUUUUUUAUUGGACAUGGCGAGUUUUCCUUUUGCAUGUCGUGAACUUAUAAUCGUCCAUUUAAUUUAGUGGUUAAUGAUUAAUCAAUAUUUAGACACCUAAAUGCUGCAAAUGUUGCACACAUGAAAAUUUAUGUCCUACUGUUUGCUCUUAUCCAUUUAUUUUAGGCCCUGGCAGCAGGACGAGGCUCUAGGAUGGUUCCCAUGGAAAACAGACAGUCAGAUUCACAGUGAAGAUGUGUUGCAUGCCCACAACUGAAUACUCACAGUGAAGAUGUGUCACUCAUUGAGAAGCCGAACGGUACCACCAAAAUAUAAAGUGAAGAGACCCACUUAUCCAGAACAAGGUAGAUCAUCAUGCUGUCAUACCAUACAUCAAAUGGUAUGCCGCAAAUACAAUCGCCAAUCUUAGAAAACUCAACGAACGUAAAAAUCUUACUAGAGGCAACUGGAUAUAGGAAACAAAGUGAACUACCAGUUUUCUGUUGAACAAUCACUACUCUGGUUUUAUUGUGACGUGUACCUAAAUUUAUUCUUAGAGAAAACUUGACAUGCAGACUGCAUGUUCUUAUGUAUUGUUUCAGUAACAAUGAUUGCAUAGUAAUUCAGUUAUAACUAUGUAACAGAAGAUGGCAGGAACAAUGGUACAAAUUCAAGUAUGUACAUGCCAAAGUUGAUAGGUUUAACUCUAGGCAUUGCAUUACUAUGUCAUGUUGUACUAUUCUUUAAAGAAUUUGUAGGGGGUACUAGAAAAUAUGACUCGAUGAGGGAUGCAUUGAUUUAAAAAAACGGCCUGAAAGUAUUGAGUUUAGUAAAAUAUUGUAUAGCCUUCUCCUAGAAGUUUGAUACACUUUUCAAGAAAACAAACUUUUUUUAUCAUUAAUCUAUAACUUUUCUCAUAUUUGAACAGCAGUGUUAUUUGAGUUUGGUUACAAAAAGUGGCAUGUUAAAAACUUAAAAUAGGUGGCUUGAUGCAACUUUUGCAAAGUUUGUCGAAAGAAACGCAAUGACGGUGCAUUUCAUUCUCAUAUGUGUUCUUUUUACAGUCCAAUGCAUCCUUUGGAAUGGGACUUGAGCAGGCAUGGUUUCCCUCUACAUCCAGCGUCCACAUGGGCAAAUCGACAGAUCUCACUAUGGUGGUGUAGCAUAAAGCUCCCCAAGCAAUUCAAUUGGAUAUUUCUAGGGAUCAAUUCCGGGAAAUCACAUAGGUACCCUCAGUUUAUCUCAUUUUGCGGUUAUUUGAAUGACUAUGUAUUGUUGUAUUGUUGUGCUCCGCGGGUUUGGCGUUGGCCGCCAACAACGACGAGGCUGGCGGCUCGGGCGCGGGCGUCGUCAACCUUGAUCGGUGUCCUGUUUUUUCUUUGGUUUUUAGUUUUUGUUAUGAUCAGUGUCCUGUUUUUUCUUUUAUAAAUUGCAAUGAACGACCGAAGCUCGACGAAGAUGUCCUAAUCUCAUUGUAUUUGAGUGUCAUUUAUUUAACUCUUCCAAAAUUUAUAGUGCGGCUUCUUGUAAC
This 3031-nucleotide ribosomal RNA is filed under the name Triticum aestivum (bread wheat). Its description in RNAcentral is "partial small subunit ribosomal RNA". The record is from RNAcentral. Lineage: Eukaryota; Viridiplantae; Streptophyta; Magnoliopsida; Poales; Poaceae.